This is a long non-coding RNA of Oncorhynchus tshawytscha (Chinook salmon), 811 nucleotides long. Lineage: Eukaryota; Metazoa; Chordata; Actinopteri; Salmoniformes; Salmonidae. The record is from Ensembl.
UGGCCUGGUCUAAAGUAGUGCAGAACCCUAUAUAGUGGCCUGGUCUAAAGUGGUGCAGCACCCUAUUCCCUACAUAGUGCCCUGGUCUAAAGUGGUGCAGCACCCUAUUCCCUACAUAGUGGCCUGGCCUAAAGUAGUGCACUAUGUAGGGAAUAGGGUACCAUUUGGAAUACAGACAGUCUUUAAAGGGACUUGUGGUUUGGCCUGUGGAGACUUGCAGAUGCCCACUGACUGCAUCUUCAUGGCGUCUUGAGUGGUGUUGUUUACUAAUGCACUACUAAAGUCCUGUGUUUAAUAUCACUGUCUGUCAUUCUGCUAGUGCUUUAGAAACAGUGGAGUUAGAGCGAGGUGGGGGGGGUGCUCUUAGUCAACCAAGUGAGGGGAGUUCUUUACUCAUUAGUGACCUUAAGUCAUCAAUCAAGUACAAGGGAGGAAUGAAAACCUGCAGACACUCGGGCCCACCGUGGAAUGAGUUUGGCACACGUGAGUUAGAGCAUGAUGUCAGUGGGGAGAAGGCUGGUAGGUCUACCAUGUUAGUGACCUAGUGUGGUACGUGAGUUAGAGUAUGACGUCAGUGGGGAGAAGGCUGGUAGGUCUACCAUGUUAGUGACCUAGUGUGGUACGUGAGUUAGAGUAUGACGUCAGUGGCGCGUUGGGGAGAAGGCUGGUAGGUCUACCAUGUUAGUGACCUAGUGUGGUACGUGAGUUAGAGUAUGAUGUCAGUGGGGAGAAGGCUGGUAGGUCUACCAUGUUAGUGACCUAGUGUGGUACGUGAGUUAGAGCAUGAUGUCAGUGGGGAGAAGGCUGGUAG